Molecule: transfer RNA, 77 nt
Filed under: Clostridiales bacterium
Lineage: Bacteria; Bacillati; Bacillota; Clostridia; Eubacteriales
Description: tRNA-Pro
Rfam family: tRNA
About the family: Transfer RNA (tRNA) molecules are approximately 80 nucleotides in length. Their secondary structure includes four short double-helical elements and three loops (D, anti-codon, and T loops).
Source: RNAcentral
CGGGGUGUGGCGCAGUUUGGUAGCGCGUAUGGUUCGGGACCAUAAGGUCGCAAGUUCGAAUCUUGUCACUCCGACCA